GAGGACCAAAGUUCUAGCCACAGUCCCUAUAAAUAAAGAUCUGGUGGUGGGUGUUGGCUGUUGGACCUUGGAAAAAUCUUUGACCAUGAAGUCUAUCCUGUUCUUUGGUGUUCUAAUUGGGUAUAUAUUCUGCCAGGAAACAUUCGUUGGAGACCAGGUUCUUGAGAUCACACCAAGGAAUGAAGAACAAGUUAAAAACCUAAGACAACUGGAAACAGAAGCUCACUUUCAGAUUGAUUUCUGGAGGCCCCUCACCACUGCAGGGGAGAAGGUACAUGUCCGAAUUCCCUUUUCCAGACUGCAGGCAGUCAAAAUUUUCUUGGAGUCCCAUGGAAUUCCUUAUUCCAUCAUGAUUGAAGAUGUACAGGUUCUGCUGGACAAAGAGAAUGAAGAGAUGCGUUUUCAUCAAAGAAGAGAAAGAAGUGGAACCUUCAAUUUUGGAACCUACCAUACCUUGGAAGAGAUCUUCCAAGAAAUGGACAACCUUGCUGAGCAGUACCCAGAUCUAGUGAGCCAACUGCAAAUAGGAUAUUCUUUUGAAAAACGGCCCAUGAAUGUGCUUAAGUUUAGCACUGGAGGAAACAAGUCUGCCAUCUGGUUAGAUGCUGGGAUCCAUGCCCGAGAGUGGGUUACCCAAGCUACAGCAUUGUGGACAGCCAAUCAGAUUGCAUCCGAUUAUGGAAAGGACCCAUCCAUCACAGCCCUUUUGGAUACAAUGGAUAUUUUCCUCUUGCCUGUUACAAACCCAGACGGAUAUGUCUUCUCUUACACCAAAAAUCGCAUGUGGCGGAAGACCCGGUCCACGGUUUCUGGAAGCCUCUGUGUUGGUGUUGAUCCAAACCGGAACUGGGAUGCAGGCUUCGGAGGACCUGGAGCCAGUAGCAACCCCUGCUCUGACUCAUACCAUGGACCAAGUGCCAACUCAGAAGUUGAAGUGAAAUCCAUCGUGGACUUCAUUAAGAACCAUGGAGAAAUCAAAGCCUUCAUCACCCUCCACAGCUACUCUCAGCUGCUCAUGUACCCCUAUGGGUAUAAAUGCACCAGCUCAGAUGACUUCAGUGAGCUGAAUAAAGUGGCUGAAAUAGCUGCUGAGUCUGUGGCAUCCCUUUAUGGCACCAAGUACAAAGUGGGACCGAUCUGUUCUGUCAUAUUGGAAUCAUCUACCUUGCUUCCUGUCCGAUGAUGCCAUGAUGCUCUCCUGUGCAGGUGUAGAACACCUGCUCUACUCCGCCCCAGAAGUGGUUACAUUUCUAUGGCAAGUAAAACAUUCCUGGCUGCUGUGUCCCCAACUGACCAGGCCAGUGGAGGAAGCAUUGACUGGUCCUAUGACUAUGGCAUCAAAUAUUCCUUUGCCUUUGAAUUGAGAGACACUGGUC
Vombatus ursinus (common wombat) is the source of this 1376-nucleotide RNA transcript. It is a transcript of the gene named carboxypeptidase A2, with no coding region annotated. Lineage: Eukaryota; Metazoa; Chordata; Mammalia; Diprotodontia; Vombatidae. The record is from RefSeq and is a predicted model, not a curated record. The transcript has 12 exons.